UACGAAGGGGGCUAGCGUUGUUCGGAAUUACUGGGCGUAAAGGGCGCGUAGGCGGCGUGUCAAGUCAGGCGUGAAAGCCCCGGGCUCAACCUGGGAACCGCGCUUGAGACUGGCAUGCUCGGGUUCGGGAGAGGAUGGUGGAAUUCCCAGUGUAGAGGUGAAAUUCGUAGAUAUUGGGAAGAACACCGAUGGCGAAGGCAGCCAUCUGGACCGACACUGACGCUGAGGCGCGAAAGCGUGGGGAGCAAACAGG
Molecule: ribosomal RNA, 253 nt
Filed under: uncultured bacterium
Lineage: Bacteria
Description: partial 16S ribosomal RNA
Rfam family: Bacterial small subunit ribosomal RNA
Source: RNAcentral